CAGUAGCCACGGUAAUACAGAGGGUGCGAGCGUUAAUCGGAUUUACUGGGCGUAAAGCGUGCGUAGGCGGCUUUUUAAGUCGGAUGUGAAAUCCCUGAGCUUAACUUAGGAAUUGCAUUCGAUACUGGGAAGAUAGAGUAUGGGAGAGGAUGGUAGAAUUACAGGUGUAGCGGUGAAAUGCGUAGAGAUCUGGAGGAAUACCGAUGGCGAAGGCAGCCAUCUGGCCUAAUACUGACGCUGAGGUACGAAAGCAUGGGGAGCAAACAGGAUUAGAUACCCCCGUAGUCCCUGUCUCUUAUAC
RNAcentral lists this ribosomal RNA (301 nucleotides) under uncultured bacterium. RNAcentral describes it as "partial 16S ribosomal RNA". It matches the Rfam family "Bacterial small subunit ribosomal RNA", at positions 509 to 807 of the family's 1533-position model. The record is from RNAcentral.